GUUGAUUAACGUUUUCCCUUCUCUAUAUGGUCUUUGCUUUCAUCCAUAAUCCCUUUGAGGUCUGUUCUUCAAUGGCAGCUGCAGAAGCCCAAGAAGCCUCCUCUUCAACGGCUUCAUGUUCUUACCAUGUCUUCUUGAGUUUUAGAGGUGGAGACACCCGCAAGAAUUUUACCGAUCACCUCUAUACAGCUCUGGUUCAACAAGGAAUCCACACAUUCCGGGACGACGAUGAAAUCCAAAGAGGAGAGAACAUUGAGUUAGAAAUUCAAAGAGCAAUAAGAGAGUCAAAGUUAUCCAUAAUUGUACUUUCAAAAGACUAUGCUUCUUCAAGAUGGUGCCUAGACGAGCUUGUGAUGAUCAUGGAACGCAGAAGACUUGUUGGGCAUGUUGUGGUUCCAAUUUUCUACGAUGUGGAUCCAUACCAAGUCAGAAACCAGGCAGGAAGAUACGGUGAAGCGUUUGCUAGGCAUGAAAAGGACUUCAAGGAGGACAUGGGCAGAGUUGAGCAGUGGAGGGAAGCUCUAAGAGAAGCUGCAGAUCUGGGAGGGAUGGUUCUACAAGAUGGGUACGAAUCUCAGUUUAUUCAAAACAUUGUAAGAGAGGUUGAGAACAAAUUGAGUCGGACAGUGCUCGAUGUCACUCCCUGUUUAGUUGGAAUGGAUUCUCGUAUAGCACGAAUUAAUCAAUGGUUGCAAGAUGGGUCGGAUGAUGUUGAGAUAGCUACAAUCUAUGGGAUUGGUGGCAUUGGGAAAACAACCAUUGCCAAGAUAGUUUAUAAUCUAAACUUCAACAAAUUUGAUGGAAGAAGCUUUCUCGCAAAUAUCAGAGAAACUUCCGAACUACCCAAUGGCCUGAUUCGAUUGCAGAGGCAACUUCUUUCUGAUCUAGUAAAGGGAAAAACAAGCAAAAUAUACAAUGUUGAUGAAGGGAUUACUAGGAUCAGAGAUGUUUUGUACGGCAAAAGAGUUCUACUCGUUCUUGAUGAUGUUGAUGAUGUGGACCAAUUCAAUGCAAUAGUUGGAAUGCGGGAAUGGUUUCAUCCAGGAAGCAAAAUUAUUAUAACAACAAGGCAUGAGCAUUUACUAAGAUUUAUUUUCAGGUUUGAAGUUAAGGAAUUGGAUGAUAAAGAAUCACUUCGGCUCUUAAGUUGGCAUGCCUUUGGCCAAGAUCAUCCUGCGGAUGGCUACCAGAAGCAUUCUGAAAACGUGGCUCGUCAUUGUGGUGGACUCCCUUUAGCACUUCAAGUCUUGGGUUCUUCUUUAUCUGGCAAAACUACAAUUGUUUGGGAAAAUGCAUUACAGAAGUUGGAAAAAAUUGCUGAUAGUAAAAUUCAGCAUAUUCUUAGAAUAAGCUUUGAUUCUCUUCAGGAUGACCAUGACAAAAGCCUAUUCCUUGAUAUAGCUUGUUUUUUCACCGGAAUGGUCAUAGAGUAUGCUAUUAGAAUACUGGAUGGCUGUGAUUUUUAUGCCAUACUUGGCAUUCAAAAUCUCAUUGAUAGAUGCCUAGUAACUGUCAAUGAAGAAAACAGGUUGAUGGUGCAUCAAUUACUUAGAGACAUGGGACGGCAAAUUGUUCGCGAAGAAUCACCUGAUGACCCUGGAAAACGUAGCAGACUGUGGGAUCCUAAGGAUGCAACCAUUGUAUUGCGAGAAAAUAUCGUAAGAAAGAUAAUUGUCAUGGCUAUGAAUGAUAGGAAAAGAUAAGAUAAUUGUCAUGUCUAUGAAUGAUAGGAAAAGAUGUGUGCGUGUGUGCGCAUGCAAUUGAGCAAGCUUAUAAUUCAUCCCUUUCUAAAUUUUUUCCUUCUAUUAUGUGGGUGCAGGGUACGGAAUCAAUCAGGGGCCUCAGCCUCAACUUACCAAAGCUAACAGAAGACAAGCGCAGAAGGAAAAAUGCAUUUGCACUUCUCGCAAAACAAUAUGAUGAUGAAGAUUCUAAUGAAAAAUCAAGGUUGCCGGAUGAAGACAAUAAUUUGAAAAGGCGUAGGCUUAGCAUCUUUUCAUGGCAACCAGCAAACACUGCUCCAAUACGUUCAUUUUCUACAUGGGCAUUUGAGAAGAUGGUAAGACUAAAAUUGCUCAACCUCAAUUAUGCAGAACUUAAUGGAGGCUACAAGGAAUUUCCCAGAAGUUUAGUAUGGUUGUGUUGGCGUGGAUUCCCUUUGAAAUCUAUACCAAUUGAUCUCUGCCUGGACAAGCUUGUUGUUCUUGAUAUGCGCAAUAGCAAAGUAAAAUAUCUAUGGAAGGGAAUCAGGUUUCUUGUAGAGCUGAAAAUACUUAACCUUAGUCAUUCCCAUGGCCUUGUUAGAACCCCCAACUUCAUGGGACUUCCUUCUCUUGAGAGAUUAAAGCUCAAAGAUUGCAUAAACUUGAUUGAGCUUGAUGAAUCCAUUGGCAACCUUCAAAGACUUGUUUUACUGGACUUAAGGGACUGCAAAAAUUUGAAGACACUUCCUGCAGAAAUUGGCUCAUUGGAAUCUCUUGAAAAACUUAAUUUGUGUGGCUGCUCAAAACUUGAUCAGCUGCCUGAGGAGAUGAGGAAAAUGCAAUCAUUGAAGGUUCUUUAUGCAGAUGGCACUGCUUUAAAUCAAUUACAAGCUGUGAACGUGCCGUGGUAUUCAACAUUUUGGUCCUGGUUGCUACCAAGAAAAUGUCCACAAUCAAUGAGUUUCUCAUUGGCUUUUUUACCAUGCUAUUUAGUAAACUUAAGUCUAGCAAACUGCGAUCUAUCAGAUGCUGCUAUUCCAAAUGAUCUAAGCUCUCUUUGCUCCUUGGAAAAUUUAGAUCUUAAAGGAAAUCCAAUCCACAGUAUUCCAGAAAGCAUCAAAAGCCUCACUACACUCCAGUCCCUUUGCUUAGAUGAGUGCAUAAGGCUCCAAUCUCUUCCGGAGCUUCCAGAAAGUUUGGAGGAAUUAAAUGCUGAGGGCUGUACGUCAUUGGAAAGAAUUACAAAUUUGCCAAAUUUGCUGAUAACUUUGCAGGUGCAACUGUUUGGCUGUGACCAACUUGUUGAAGUACAAGGCUUGUUCAAGCUAGAACCACUCAUAAAUAUGGAUACAGAAAUGAUGAAUGAUUUGGACUUGUUUGACUUGGCAUCCUUGGGGAGUACUGAAGUGACAAUGUUUAAUGCUAUGGCAAACAGAGAAAGGAGGACUCUUCCCCAGGUAUUGCAAGAAUGUGGCAUAUUCAGCUUCUUCCUUGCUGGGAGUAAGGUUCCAUUCUGGUUCACCCAUAAAAGCAUGGGCUCCUCGAUAUCUUUUACAGUAACUCCACUUCCUGGUCAAAAUAUCUGCGGCUUAAACUUAUGCACGUUAUACUCACGCGGUGAUCAGGUAUCUUUUUUUCAUGGCGCUGGUUAUUAUGCCAAAAUCAAUAAUGAAACCAAGGGUAUAAACUGGACUUAUAGUCCAACCUUCUACGGAAUCCCAGAAGAUGAUGAGGACAUGCUAUGGUUAAGCUGUUGGAAGUUUGGAGAUGAGUUGGAAGUAGGCGAUGAAGUGAAUGUUUCAGUGCAUAUGCCAUCUGGGUUUUAUGUAAAGGAGUGUGGAAUUUACGUAGUGUGCAAGGAAGAUGUGAAGGAUGCCCACUCAAACAGUAAGGAAAUAGCACAAAGUAGCUCCUUUCGGCAUCAGAAUAUCACUGACAGAGACUUGUGGCCGUACCAGGUGGGAGAGGCAGUUUAUUUUCUACAUCAUCAUCCAUAUACAACUCCUGAUGAAAUACUGAAAUUAGCUUCUUUACAUCUCUGAACUUGAACAGAGCACACAUUCAUCUGUUGCUCAUGUUUUACGUGCAUGUGAUGGGUAUAAGGAAGACAUAAUAUUACUCAAAUGUAUGUAGUCAUGCCCACAAUCUGACUUAAACUCAUGGCAGGUGCAAGAUUAACAAGAGUAAUUAUUAUUCUUGUAACGUUUAAUUCUUUAUUACUCUUAUUUGGAUGCUAACAAGAUAUUAAGUUAAUUUUUAGCUUAGUUAAUUUUUUAGUUAAUUUUUAGAGGUUAAAUGUAACGAGACUUAACAAAUGCCAAUAAGAUAUUAU
This 4035-nucleotide unclassified non-coding RNA is filed under the name Hevea brasiliensis (rubber tree). Lineage: Eukaryota; Viridiplantae; Streptophyta; Magnoliopsida; Malpighiales; Euphorbiaceae. The record is from RNAcentral.